CCGGCGGCUUGGAACACCUCCUUAUAAUACCGCAUACGCCCUACGGGGGAAAGCAGGGGAUCUUCGGACCUUGCGCUAAUAGAUGAGCCUAAGUCGGAUUAGCUAGUUGGUGGGGUAAAGGCCUACCAAGGCGACGAUCUGUAGCGGGUCUGAGAGGAUGAUCCGCCACACUGGGACUGAGACACGGCCCAGACUCCUACGGGAGGCAGCAGUGGGGAAUAUUGGACAAUGGGCGGAAGCCUGAUCCAGCCAUGCCGCGUGUGUGAAGAAGGCCUUUUGGUUGUAAAGCACUUUAAGCGAGGAGGAGGCUACUAGUAUUAAUACUACUGGAUAGUGGACGUUACUCGCAGAAUAAGCACCGGCUAACUCUGUGCCAGCAGCCGCGGUAAUACAGAGGGUGCGAGCGUUAAUCGGAUUUACUGGGCGUAAAGCGUGCGUAGGCGGCUUUUUAAGUCGGAUGUGAAAUCCCCGAGCUUAACUUGGGAAUUGCAUUCGAUACUGGGAAGCUAGAGUAUGGGAGAGGAUGGUAGAAUUCCAGGUGUAGCGGUGAAAUGCGUAGAGAUCUGGAGGAAUACCGAUGGCGAAGGCAGCCAUCUGGCCUAAUACUGACGCUGAGGUACGAAAGCAUGGGGAGCAAACAGGAUUAGAUACCCUGGUAGUCCAUGCCGUAAACGAUGUCUACUAGCCGUUGGGGCCUUUG
Molecule: ribosomal RNA, 700 nt
Filed under: Acinetobacter junii
Lineage: Bacteria; Pseudomonadati; Pseudomonadota; Gammaproteobacteria; Moraxellales; Moraxellaceae
Description: bacterial SSU rRNA
Rfam family: Bacterial small subunit ribosomal RNA
Source: RNAcentral